Molecule: long non-coding RNA, 834 nt
Organism: Hordeum vulgare subsp. vulgare (domesticated barley)
Lineage: Eukaryota; Viridiplantae; Streptophyta; Magnoliopsida; Poales; Poaceae
Exons: 3
Source: RefSeq, a predicted model, not a curated record
CUGUCCCACAAUAAGUUACGUAGCUGGUCUUGGGGAAGAAAUAUCUAGAUCGGGAUUACGUGGGAAGAUUUGCACGAGCGUAUUCGAGUAAACUGCAGAGGGUGGUCGUCACCGCUUAAGGCGAUGGUUCGAGAAACUGUCCGACCUCCUUAUUUCUAAAAAAUGUUUUCUUUCUUCCCUCCCAUACUCUCCCUCGCUCUCAGCUCAAGGCAUGGCAGAGCACCACGACCUCAUCUCCCUCCUGAUUCCCCUUUCAGUAGUGCCAUGUCCUUUCCCUCACCCACCACUGGAGCUAGCAUCUUCCCGGCCUACGGGUUGAGCAUCAUCCCACUCCUCCCCCACCAUCACGCCACCGCUAGCCUCCAUGGAAGGGCUGUCGCCAUGAGCUCACGCCGGCCCUGCUGUAGGUUGGCGGUGGCCUAGCCCGACUUGCGCGGCAUUAAGACGACAUGGGGAUAGAACAACCGGCGUGCAUGAGGGGAUGAGGUGAUGCGGGCAACAGGAUGGGUCGGAUAAGGGAUCGGAAGUAAGCCGCCGUCGGAUCCCUCGGGAAGGUGGUACAUCAAUCCAUUCUCCUUCACGUACACCGCUCCAACACCCUUCUCUCCUUCCUUCCCACGACCUCCUGUCCUUCUGUAUGAGCUUGGAGGUGGACUGUGCGAGGAAGCGAGCAGCGACACUGCCAGGUGGUAGCAUGGCCACUGUCCCGCCUGUGCUCAUCGGUGGUUCCCCGAAUGAUGUCCUCCUCCAAGCCUGCAGCCACUGCAUGAAGUUACACUCCGCUAGCCUGCUGCAGCAAGGUCACGGGAAGUAUAAGAAUCUGAAUAUUAGUUU